GAAAUUCCUUAUUAAUUUUAUCCCCAAAAUUUACCCUUUGAAACCCCUAAAAUUUGCCCCUAAAAUGGGUAUCCCCAAAACACAUCUAAUUUUCCCCCCUUAUUCAUAGGUUAUAAUGGCCUUCUGUUUUCAUACCUUCGUUUUUCCAACUAAUUUGUCCAUCAAAGUGAGAAGUAAUGGUGUUCGGAAGCUUCAAACAGAGGGGCACUCUUCUACCAAAAGCUCCUAAGGGUUGGGAAAGGAGUUGUGUUGUUUGAUGAACUUGCUGAUCUUCUUCAAAGUAGCGCCUUGAGAGUAGCUACCAUGAAUUCUCUGUUUUCAUUUAACAUGACUUUGUAAAAUGGCAUAUAAGUGUUUGUUGCUUUGUCUUUAUGUAUCGUUCGUUCUAACAUUUUAACGAGUGUAUUAUGUUUCAUUAGUUUAAAAAAUCCGGUGUUUUACGUUCGAAAAUUUUUAUAUCUAUUUUAGAAACUUCUAUUUUUUGACCGGUGAUGGGAAAGAAAGGGAGUGGAUGGUUCGCGACGGUGAAGGAAGUGUUCAAAUCAUCUCACAAAGACUUACCAGACAAAAAAUGGUGUAAGGCCUUUUGGUGUAUCUCUACUGGUUGCUGGAUAUGACGAUAAUGGUCCAUAAUUGUAUCAGGUGGAUCCAUCUGGUUCCUAUUUCUCAUGGAAAGCCUCAGCAAUGGGGAAAAAUGUCUCAAAUGCAAAAACAUUUCUUGAGAAAAGAUACACUGAUGAUAUGGAGCUUUAUGAUGCUGUGCAUACUACUAUUUUGACUCUCAAAGAGGGAUUUGAAGGACAAAUUUCACGGAAAAACAUUGAAAUUGGGAUUAUUGGAACUGACAAAAAAUUCAGGC
Gossypium arboreum is the source of this 859-nucleotide long non-coding RNA. RefSeq lists it as uncharacterized. The transcript is spliced from 5 exons. Lineage: Eukaryota; Viridiplantae; Streptophyta; Magnoliopsida; Malvales; Malvaceae. The record is from RefSeq and is a predicted model, not a curated record.